ACACUAACAAAAUAGCCUGACCACCUAAAACAACACAUCACUAUUUUUACCCACAAAUAUCCUUAACCCUAUUAAAUAAAACAUUCUCCCCCCUUAGUAUAGGCGAUAGAAAAGGAAAUAAGAGCAACAGAGAAAGUACCGCAAGGGAACAUUGAAAUAAAAAUGAAACAAAUAUAGCAAGUUUUAAAAAGCAGAGACUAAACCUCGUACCUUUUGCAUCAUGAUUUAGCAAGUAAAAUCAAGCAAAGUGUACUUUAGUUUGACAUCCCGAAACUAAGUGAGCUACUCCAAGGCAGCCUAAAAAAUAGGGCGAACCCGUCUCUGUUGCAAGAGAGUGGGAAGACCUUUGAGUAGGGGUGAUAGACCUACCGAACUUAGUUAUAGCUGGUUAUCCGGGAAAUGGAUAUGAGUUCAGCCUUCCGGGUUCUCACCGCACACCUCCAACCAUACCGCCAUCUAAAGAAACCAGAAGAGUUAAUCAAAGGGGGUACAGCUCCUUUGAUAAAAAAUACAACUUCUCCAGGUGGGUCUGGAUCAUAUUAGUUUAUAAAGGUAAAUUAUAUAAGUGGGCUUAGAAGCAGCCAUCAAUAAAGAAAGCGUUAAAGCUCAAAUUAAUAAAACUACCCCUCUAUAACGAUAACCCCUUCCUAACCCCCUAGCUUUUACCGGAUUUUUCCAUGCAAACAUGGAAGUAAUAAUGCUAAUAUGAGUAAUAAGAGAGCACUCGCCUCUCUCCCCGCACAAGUGUAAAUCGGAGCGGACCACCCACCGAAUAAUAACCGGCCCCAAGCCAAGAGGGUACUGAACCAAGUACAUAGAUAACUGGAAAACCGUUCAUUAAUAAACCGUUAAACCUACACUGGAGUGCCCCAUGGGAAAGACUAAAAGAAGGAGAAGGAACUCGGCAAACACUGGCCUCGCCUGUUUACCAAAAACACCGCCUCUUGCAAAUUAAUGUAUAAGAGGUCCCGCCUGCCCGGUGACUAUAUGUUUAACGGCCGCGGAACCCUGACCGUGCGAAGGUAGCGCAAUCACUUGUUUCUUAAAUGGGGACCUGUAUGAAUGGCUUCACGAGGGCUUAACUGUCUCCUCCCUCCAGUCAAUGAAAUUGAUCUUCUCGUGAAGAAGCGAGAAUUAAAACAUAAGACGAGAAGACCCUAUGGAGCUUUAAACACUCGAACAAUUAUGUUAAGGCCCCCUAAAAAGGAAUAAAACUUAAAUACCACUGCCCCUGUGUUUUAGGUUGGGGCGACCACGGGGUAUUAGAUAACCCCCAUGUAGAAUGGGAAAACUGACUGCCUAAAACCAAGAGGGGCACCUCAAAGGAACAGAAUUUCUGACUAUGCACGAUCCGGCAAUGCCGAUCUACGGACCAAGUUACCCUAGGGAUAACAGCGCAAUCCUCUCCAAGAGUCCAUAUCGCCGAGUGGGUUUACGACCUCGAUGUUGGAUCAGGACAUCCUAAUGGUGCAGCCGCUAUUAAGGGUUCGUUUGUUCAACGAUUAAAGUCCUACGUGAUCUGAGUUCAGACCGGAGUAAUCCAGGUCGGUUUCUAUCUAUGAUAUGACCUUUUCUAGUACGAAAGGAUCGAAAAGAGGAGACCUCUACUCUAAGUACGUCUCACCCUUACUGGGUGAAAACAACUCAACUCGACAAAAGGGCAUAACUCCUUCUGUCGAGACCAGACAAU
Molecule: ribosomal RNA, 1690 nt
Filed under: Callanthias japonicus
Lineage: Eukaryota; Metazoa; Chordata; Actinopteri; Callanthiidae
Description: 16S ribosomal RNA
Rfam family: Bacterial large subunit ribosomal RNA
Source: RNAcentral